RNAcentral lists this ribosomal RNA (870 nucleotides) under Alteromonas alvinellae. Its description in RNAcentral is "bacterial SSU rRNA". It matches the Rfam family "Bacterial small subunit ribosomal RNA", at positions 29 to 896 of the family's 1533-position model. Lineage: Bacteria; Pseudomonadati; Pseudomonadota; Gammaproteobacteria; Alteromonadales; Alteromonadaceae. The record is from RNAcentral.
UAUGACGCUGGCGGCAGGCCUAACACAUGCAAGUCGAACGGUAACAUUUCUAGCUUGCUAGAAGAUGACGAGUGGCAGGACGGGUGAGUAAUGCUUGGGAACUUGCCUUUGCGAGGGGGAUAACAGUUGGAAACGACUGCUAAUACCGCAUAAUGUCUUCGGACCAAACGGGGCUUCGGCUCCGGCGCAAAGAGAGGCCCAAGUGAGAUUAGCUAGUUGGUAAGGUAACGGCUUACCAAGGCGACGAUCUCUAGCUGUUCUGAGAGGAAGAUCAGCCACACUGGGACUGAGACACGGCCCAGACUCCUACGGGAGGCAGCAGUGGGGAAUAUUGCACAAUGGGGGAAACCCUGAUGCAGCCAUGCCGCGUGUGUGAAGAAGGCCUUCGGGUUGUAAAGCACUUUCAGUUGUGAGGAAAAGUUAGUAGCUAAUACCUGCUAGCCGUGACGUUAACAACAGAAGAAGCCCGGCUAACUCCGUGCCAGCAGCCGCGGUAAUACGGAGGGUGCGAGCGUUAAUCGGAAUUACUGGGCGUAAAGCGCACGCAGGCGGUUUGUUAAGCUAGAUGUGAAAGCCCCGGGCUCAACCUGGGAUGGUCAUUUAGAACUGGCAGACUAGAGUCUUGGAGAGGGGAGUGGAAUUCCAGGUGUAGCGGUGAAAUGCGUAGAUAUCUGGAGGAACAUCAGUGGCGAAGGCGACUCCCUGGCCAAAGACUGACGCUCAUGUGCGAAAGUGUGGGUAGCGAACAGGAUUAGAUACCCUGGUAGUCCACACCGUAAACGCUGUCUACUAGCUGUGUGUGCCUUUAAGGCGUGCGUAGCGAAGCUAACGCGCUAAGUAGACCGCCUGGGGAGUACGGCCGCAAGGUUA